CCUACGGGAGGCAGCAGUGGGGAAUAUUGCACAAUGGGGGAAACCCUGAUGCAGCGACGCCGCGUGAGUGAAGAAGUAAUUCGUUAUGUAAAGCUCUAUCAGCAGGGAAGAAAAUGACGGUGCCUGAGUAAGAAGCCGCGGCUAAAUACGUGCCAGCAGCCGCGGUAAUACGUAGGGGGCAAGCGUUAUCCGGAUUUACUGGGUGGAAAGGGAGCGUAGACGGCAGUGCAAGUCUGGAGUGAAAGGCGGGGGCUCAACCCCCGGACUGCUCUGGAAACUGUACGGCUGGAGUGCAGGAGAGGUAAGUGGAAUUCCUAGUGUAGCGGUGAAAUGCGUAGAUAUUAGGAGGAACACCAGUGGCGAAGGCGGCUUACUGGACUGUAACUGACGUUGAGGCUCGAAAGCGUGGGGAGCAAACAGGAUUAGAUACCCUUGUAGUC
RNAcentral lists this ribosomal RNA (440 nucleotides) under uncultured bacterium. RNAcentral describes it as "partial 16S ribosomal RNA". It matches the Rfam family "Bacterial small subunit ribosomal RNA", at positions 338 to 795 of the family's 1533-position model. The record is from RNAcentral.